CACGUAGUUAGCCGGUGCUUAUUCUUCAGGUACCGUCAUUAGCAAGAGAUAUUAGCCCUCACCGUUUCUUCCCUGACAAAAGAGCUUUACAACCCGAAGGCCUUCUUCACUCACGCGGCAUUGCUGGAUCAGGCUUGCGCCCAUUGUCCAAAAUUCCCCACUGCUGCCUCCCGUAGGAGUCUGGACCGUGUCUCAGUUCCAGUGUGGCUGGUCGUCCUCUCAGACCAGCUACUGAUCGAAGCCUUGGUGAGCCUUUACCUCACCAACUAGCUAAUCAGAUAUCGGCCGCUCCAGGAGCAUGAGGUUCUUGCGAAUCCCCCAUUUCAUCCUUAGAUCGUAUGCGGUAUUAGCGUAACUUUCGCUACGUUAUCCCCCACUCCAGGGUACGUUCCGAUAUAUUACUCACCCGUUCGCCACUCGCCGCCAGGUUGCCCCGCGCUGCCGUUCGACUUGCAUGUGUAAGGCAUGCCGCCAGCGUUCAAUCUGAGCCA
This 491-nucleotide ribosomal RNA is filed under the name uncultured Oxalobacteraceae bacterium. RNAcentral describes it as "partial 16S ribosomal RNA". Lineage: Bacteria; Pseudomonadati; Pseudomonadota; Betaproteobacteria; Burkholderiales; Oxalobacteraceae. The record is from RNAcentral.